Long non-coding RNA from Paramisgurnus dabryanus, 2607 nucleotides. RefSeq lists it as uncharacterized. NCBI's taxonomy places the organism in Eukaryota, Metazoa, Chordata, Actinopteri, Cypriniformes, Cobitidae. The record is from RefSeq and is a predicted model, not a curated record.
GAUCUCUUUCUUGCUGAGAUUGAUUGACACACAACAUCCAGCGCAGCAGCCAAUCAGUGCCCGCGAUCUAUGUGCAGGCGAGCAUCCCGCCCACAGAACGCAAAGUUGAGUUGAGCCAGAUCUGAUACAGACGCAAACUUUUUCUGUUGCUUUAAGGACAAUUUCUUUAAUGUUAUGUGUGUUUGUGCGUAAAUGAAAAAUAACCAGAUAAUUGAAUUCAUUAAUCAUUAUGAUAAGGCUACUUUCCUCGUCUGCCGAUCCUCUUCGCACAUCACUUGGCACUGUUAUGUUUUUCGGUUACAGCCAUACACGACCUGUCUGAGCGCCCAUGUGCUUCUUGUCAAAGCUGGCAGUGGUCCUAAUUAAGAAAACUUUGCUGGAGUUGGCACCACAGAGCUGCAGGCAAUUAAACAGCGACGAGUGUCAUCGCCAGAAUGCUCGAAACAGCGGGGCUUAAAACCCCAUACACACCAGAACACCGGCACCUCCGCCUUCACGCUGCCAGACUUGUAAAACUUCGACUGCACACCACACCUUUUCAUCACACCUGAUACACGCAUGCACAAACACAUGCACUGUCAGAAAAAAAGGUACAAAACUCUGCCUUUUUCUGUCAUUGGGGUGGUAUCCAGUGGGGCUUCCGGCCUUAGUCAAACGGGUUAACACGUAUGGUCGGGUUGCGAUGUUUUUGGCGUCUUCUCCUGGUCCUGUAAAUGGUAUACAAUAUAGACCCGUUUGCCACUGAACCUGCAUUAACGACAACAGUGGGGCUUUAGGCCUUAGUCAAACGGGUCGUCAGGUUUCAUUUUCUCUUAAAGAUCGGAAGGUGACCCUUAUUUACCAUAUAUACCCUCGCAUUGGGCCCCCAAUUUGCUAAAUCCUCAACUGUGGAUAACAUAAUUAUGCCGCAAUAUCUAGUCUGUCUGGAACUAAGCUGAGUUAAACCACAUCACUGUGUGACACUUCAAUACAUAUGAACGGCUGCUACGCUAAUACGAUUUUGUUUUUCUCUCCCUGUCUCGUCCUCGACCCGAGGACGAGACAAACAGACCCAGUCCCGGUAGAUGUGAAAGUCGGCACACCUCUGAUCUACUGGCCGUCCUUCAACGUUAUGCCCAGCUGAUACCUGACCAACGAUCACCGGCAGAACCGCUUAAUCUCCGCUAAAUCUCCAUUUCCGUUCUCCCAAGGGUUUUUCCCUCCUAGGACUUAUUUUUCCUCGGAUAAAAGCCCGGGGUUUUUUUUUCUCCUAGGGGGUUUUUCACCCCGGGGAGGCAGCCUUUUUGGGCUUUACCUAGCUUCCUCUUCUAUACGUUGCUUUAGUAAUACGUGCAAUUAUAAUAUUGAGUCAUAGCCGCAGCAAAUUUAACUGCUCAUGCUAUCAUGUAUUCUGUUGUGCUAUCUGUCGUUUUCUGUGCUUUUCACUGCUUCUAUUUAUGUAAAGCUGCUUUGAAACAAUUGACUUUUGUGAAAAGCGCUAUAUAAAUAAAAUUGAAUUGAAUUGAAUAUCCUCAAAGGUUAGUAUUUGUACCUUGUAGGGGUACAAAACAAUAAAGGUACCACUAAACUUCUCAUUACAGCACUAAUACCACUAAAAGUGGUUCACUGGCUCGUAAUCAUAGGGGAACCAUUUAAGUGUUUUUCCUAUUUUCUUACAAUUGCUUCGGUUUGGGGUUAGAACAACAUUCUGUUACAUAAAAUGACAUCCUUACCAAAACCCAACUCUAACCCUGUCAGGCAAUUUAACGAUGGUUUAAAAAGUAUAAACCAAUACUUUAAGUGACAUCCUAACGCAAACAGCAAAUCUAACCCAAAACUGAAGCGACAAUUGUUUAAAAAUGGGAAAAACAGUUGAGUAACCAAUACGUGAAACUGUCACGGAAAAGAAAGUCACGGCAGGGGCACGUAAUAUGAUGGAAAUACAUGACAAUGUCACGCAAAACUGAGCAAAAUAAUGCGUGACUAUUUCACGGAAAUUUGUGAGAUCAGGUUGGUUGUAUUGUGUAAACGUGUCAAUAUAGACAAAUCAGUUUAUAUCUGAUGUCUAUAAUAAUAUUGUUUAAAAUCUUUCUCAUUCAAGGGGCUCCGAUAUCGCUGAUUUAAACUGCAAUUCAUCUACUGGCCACUAGAGGCUGGCUCCAAAAGAGAGUGUAUUACCAUAAACCCCUAUUAGCUGGAAACAGGCAACUUUUCAUAGUACUCCUAUUAGUAGAACUGCGUCCACUAGGGGGGAAACGUAGUCGGCGAUCCAGUUUUUUCUCCUUAAAGGCUGGGUUUAACGGCUCGACAGCUUAUAAAACUUAUUUCUGGGUUCUUUGGCUUGUUAGCUGUACAUACAGAAUUGUCACACAUCAGCUUUUAGGCAUUAUUCUGUUUUUGUUAUAAGCCAGAAAUGACAAGGAGGCAACCUCUCACAAUACAAAGUCAAUGGAGACGGUUGGAUUGUUUUCCCUCCCGGUGGGCAUGGUUUUCAGGUUAUGACGCGCUGUGCUCUGUCUCUAUGUUAAAAUGCCCAACUUUACAGUAGAAACCCAUUUCCGGUUAUCCGUGAGUGAUGCGCGGGCAAGAUGGCUAUGGCAGGCUUCAAAAAAGCUCUUCACAAACCUA